AUCACAACAACAACAAACAAAAAGAAGAAAUGAGUACUAAAGCUAUUGUGUUCUUCAUUGUUCUAAGUUUUCUAUUAGUUAUACAAAUUUCCAAUGGAGAGAAGUUCACAAGUGCUAAGAUAAUUAAAACGAAUGGAGGAGAGGGUUCACUUCGCCCGGAACAAUGCCAAGGGGCGUGUCAGGUGAGGUGCUCGGAGACGUCGCACAAGAAGCCAUGCAUGUUCUACUGCAACUACUGUUGCGAGAGAUGUCUCUGCGUUCCUUCUGGUGCGUACGGACACAAGGAGGAGUGCCCUUGCUACGACAGCA
This is an RNA transcript of Tarenaya hassleriana, 309 nucleotides long. RefSeq lists it as uncharacterized. The transcript is spliced from 4 exons. NCBI's taxonomy places the organism in Eukaryota, Viridiplantae, Streptophyta, Magnoliopsida, Brassicales, Cleomaceae. The record is from RefSeq and is a predicted model, not a curated record.